UACGGAGGGUGCAAGCGUUAUCCGGAAUUACUGGGUUUAAAGGGUGCGUAGGCGGCUUGAUAAGUCAGGGGUGAAGGCCUAUCGCUUAACGAUAGAAUUGCCUUUGAUACUGUAAAGCUUGAAAGGGGUUGAGGUCAGCAGAAUGUGGCAUGUAGCGGUGAAAUGCAUAGAGAUGCCAUAGAACACCGAUUGCGAAGGCAGCUGGCUGGGCCUACUUUGACGAUGAGGCACGAAAGCGUGGGGAGCGAACAGG
This 253-nucleotide ribosomal RNA is filed under the name uncultured bacterium. RNAcentral describes it as "partial 16S ribosomal RNA". It matches the Rfam family "Bacterial small subunit ribosomal RNA", at positions 524 to 776 of the family's 1533-position model. The record is from RNAcentral.